CAGUCGCCGCGGUAAUACGUAGGGUGCGAGCGUUAAUCGGAAUUACUGGGCGUAAAGCGUGCGCAGGCGGUUGUGUAAGACAGGUGUGAAAUCCCCGGGCUUAACCUGGGAACUGCGCUUGUGACUGCACAGCUAGAGUAUGGCAGAGGGGGGUGGAAUUCCACGUGUAGCAGUGAAAUGCGUAGAGAUGUGGAGGAACACCGAUGGCGAAGGCAGCCCCCUGGGCCAAUACUGACGCUCAUGCACGAAAGCGUGGGGAGCAAACAGGAUUAGAUACCCGCGUAGUCCCUGUCUCUUAUAC
Molecule: ribosomal RNA, 301 nt
Filed under: uncultured bacterium
Lineage: Bacteria
Description: partial 16S ribosomal RNA
Rfam family: Bacterial small subunit ribosomal RNA
Source: RNAcentral